RNAcentral lists this ribosomal RNA (2896 nucleotides) under Clostridioides difficile. RNAcentral describes it as "23S ribosomal RNA". It matches the Rfam family "Bacterial large subunit ribosomal RNA". Lineage: Bacteria; Bacillati; Bacillota; Clostridia; Peptostreptococcales; Peptostreptococcaceae. The record is from RNAcentral.
UCAAGUUAUUAAGGGUGCAGGGCGGAUGCCUUGGCACUAGGAGCCGAUGAAGGACGUGAUAAGCUGCGAUAAGCUUCGGGGAGUUGCACGUAAACUUUGAUCCGAAGAUUUCCGAAUGAGGAAACUCACUUAGAGUAAUGUCUAAGUAUCAUUAAGUGAAUACAUAGCUUAAUGAGGGGAACUCAGGGAACUGAAACAUCUAAGUACCUGAAGGAAGAGAAAGAAAUUCGAUUCCGUAAGUAGCGGCGAGCGAACGCGGGUUAGCCCAAACCAAUAAAGUUUUCUUUAUUGGGGUUGCGGACAUAUCAUAACGAAGAGGUAUCGUAAUUGAAGAGGUUUGGAAAGACCCACCACAGAAGGUAAUAGUCCUGUAUGUUAAACGAGAAGACUUCAGAUAUGAUCCAGAGUACCACGGGACACGUGAAACCCUGUGGGAAGCAGGAGGGACCACCCUCCAAGGCUAAAUACUACCUAGUGACCGAUAGCGUAUAGUACCGUGAGGGAAAGGUGAAAAGAACCCCGGGAGGGGAGUGAAAUAGAACCUGAAACCCUGCACUUACAAGCUGUGGAAGCACAUUUCUUGUGUGACCGCGUACUUUUUGUAGAACGGGCCAACGAGUUACGUUAAGUAGCAAGGUUAAGCACUUAAGGUGCGGAGCCGUAGCGAAAGCGAGUUUUAACUGAGCGUUCAGUUACUUGACGUAGACCCGAAACCGGGCGACCUACCCAUGAGCAGGAUGAAGCGAAAGUAAAAUUUCGUGGAGGUCCGAACCCACGAGCGUUGAAAAGCUCGGGGAUGACUUGUGGGUAGCGGUGAAAUUCCAAUCGAGCCCGGAGAUAGCUGGUUCUCCCCGAAAUAGCUUUAGGGCUAGCCUCAAGGUGAGAGAUACGGAGGUAGAGCACUGAAUGUCCUAGGGGGUAUUGCACCUACCGAAGACUAUCAAACUCCGAAUGCCGUCAUCUUAUACUUGGGAGUCAGACUGUGGGUGAUAAGAUUCAUAGUCGAAAGGGCAACAGCCCAGAUCGUCAGCUAAGGUCCCUAAAUGUAAGUUAAGUGGUAAAGGAUGUGGGAUUGCACAGACAACCAGGAUGUUGGCUUAGAAGCAGCCACUCAUUCAAAGAGUGCGUAAUAGCUCACUGGUCGAGUGAUCCUGCGCCGAAGAUUUCCGGGGCUAAAACUUACUACCGAAGCUACGGCAUCAGUAAUGAUGGGUAGGGGAGCUUCCCAUACGGGUUGAAGCAUGACCGUAAGGACAUGUGGACAGUAUGGGAGUGAGAAUGUUGGCAUGAGUAGCGAGAUGUGGGUGAGAAUCCCACAGGCCGUAAACCCAAGGUUUCCAGGGGAAGGUUCGUCCGCCCUGGGUUAGUCGGGACCUAAGCUGAGGCCGAAAGGCGUAGGUGAUGGACAACAGGUUGAUAUUCCUGUACUACCGAUAACCGUUUGAGAGAAGGGAUGACACAGUAGGAUAAGCUAAGCACACUGUUGGUUAUGUGUGCCCAAGCAUUGAGGCAGUCAAAGUAGGCAAAUCCGCUUUGAUAAUGCUGGGAUGUGAUGGGGAGCGAAAUUUAGUAGCGAAGUAGCUGAUUUCACACUGUCAAGAAAAGUCUCUAUCGAGGUUAAAGGUACCCGUACCGCAAACCGACACAGGUGGGUGAGGAGAGUAUCCUAAGGCCAGCGAGAGAACUGUUGUUAAGGAACUCGGCAAAAUGACCCCGUAACUUAGGGAUAAGGGGUGCCACCAUCAGGUGGCCGCAGAGAAUAGGCCCAAGCGACUGUUUACCAAAAACAUAGGUUUCUGCUAAGUCGCAAGACGAUGUAUAGGAGCUGACGCCUGCCCGGUGCUGGAAGGUUAAGGGGAUCUGUUAGAGCAAUCGAAGCAGUGAACUUAAGCCCCAGUAAACGGCGGCCGUAACUAUAACGGUCCUAAGGUAGCGAAAUUCCUUGUCGGGUAAGUUCCGACCCGCACGAAAGGCGUAACGAUUUGGGCACUGUCUCAACAACAGACUCGGUGAAAUUGUAAUUCCGGUGAAGAUGCCGGAUACCUGCGACAGGACGGAAAGACCCCAUGGAGCUUUACUGUAGCUUGACAUUGGGUCUUGGUACUACAUGUACAGGAUAGGUGGGAGGCUUUGAAACCAGGACGCCAGUUUUGGCGGAGCCAUCCUUGGGAUACCACCCUUGUAGUACUGGGACUCUAACCAUAGGCCAUGAAUCUGGUCUUGGGACACUGUCAGGUGGGCAGUUUGACUGGGGCGGUCGCCUCCCAAAAGGUAACGGAGGCGCUCAAAGGUUCUCUCAGUACGGUCGGAAAUCGUACGUAGAGUGUAAAGGCAAAAGAGAGCUUGAUUGCAAGACAUACAGGUCGAGCAAGGAUGAAAAUCGGACUUAGUGAUCCGGUGGUUCUGCGUGGAAGGGCCAUCGCUCAACGGAUAAAAGCUACCCUGGGGAUAACAGGCUUAUCUCCCCCAAGAGUCCACAUCGACGGGGAGGUUUGGCACCUCGAUGUCGGCUCAUCACAUCCUGGGGCUGUAGUAGGUCCCAAGGGUUGGGCUGUUCGCCCAUUAAAGUGGUACGCGAGCUGGGUUCAGAACGUCGUGAGACAGUUCGGUCCCUAUCCGUCGCAGGCGUAGGAAAUUUGAGAAGACCUGUCCUUAGUACGAGAGGACCGGGAUGGACGUACCUCUGGUGUACCAGUUGUCCUGCCAAGGGCAUGGCUGGGUAGCUAUGUACGGAAUGGAUAAGCGCUGAAAGCAUCUAAGCGCGAAGCCAACUUCAAGAUAAGAUUUCCCACCGCAAGGGUAAGACCCCAGAAAGACUAUCUGGUUGAUAGGUCGAAGGUGUAAGUGCAGCAAUGUAUUUAGCUUAUCGAUACUAAUAGGUCGAGGACUUGACCAA